Molecule: ribosomal RNA, 468 nt
Filed under: uncultured bacterium
Lineage: Bacteria
Description: partial 16S ribosomal RNA
Rfam family: Bacterial small subunit ribosomal RNA
Source: RNAcentral
GACGAACGCUGGCGGCGUGCUUAACACAUGCGAGUCGAACGGAAAGGCCCUGCUUUUGGGGGGUGCUCGAGUGGCGAACGGGUGAGUAACACGUGAGUAACCUGCCCUUGACUUUGGGAUAACUUCAGGAAACUGGGGCUAAUACCGGAUAGGAGCUCCUGCUGCAUGGUGGGGGUUGGAAAGUUUCGGCGAUUGGGGAUGGACUCGCGGCUUAUCAGCUUGUUGGUGGGGUAGUGGCUUACCAAGGCUUUGACGGGUAGCCGGCCUGAGAGGGUGACCGGCCACAUUGGGACUGAGAUACGGCCCAGACUCCUACGGGAGGCAGCAGUGGGGAAUAUUGCACAAUGGGCGGAAGCCUGAUGCAGCAACGCCGCGUGCGGGAUGACGGCCUUCGGGUUGUAAACCGCUUUCGCCUGUGACGAAGCGUGAGUGACGGUAAUGGGUAAAGAAGCACCGGCUAACUACGUG